Molecule: ribosomal RNA, 468 nt
Filed under: uncultured bacterium
Lineage: Bacteria
Description: partial 16S ribosomal RNA
Rfam family: Bacterial small subunit ribosomal RNA
Source: RNAcentral
GACGAACGCUGGCGGCGUGCUUAACACAUGCAAGUCGAACGGAAAGGCCCUGCUUUUGUGGGGUGCUCGAGUGGCGAACGGGUGAGUAACACGUGAGUAACCUGCCCUUGACUUUGGGAUAACUUCAGGAAACUGGGGCUAAUACCGGAUAGCAGCUCCUGCUGCAUGGUGGGGGUUGGAAAGUUUCGGCGGUUGGGGAUGGACUCGCGGCUUAUCAGCUUGUUGGUGGGGUAGUGGCUUACCAAGGCUUUGACGGGUAGCCGGCCUGAGAGGGUGACCGGCCACAUUGGGACUGAGGUACGGCCCAGACUCCUACAGGGGGCAGCAGUGGGGAAUAUUGCACAAUGAGCGGGAGCCUGAUGCAGCAACGCCGCGUUCGGGAUGCCGGCCUUCGGGUUGUAAACCGCUUUCGCCUGUGACGAAGCGUGAGUGACGGUAAUGGGUAAAGAAGCACCGGCUAACUACGUG